UUCCCAGACUCCUACGGGAGGCAGCAGUGGGGAAUAUUGCACAAUGGGGGAAACCCUGAUGCAGCGACGCCGCGUGAGUGAAGAAGUAUUUCGGUAUGUAAAGCUCUAUCAGCAGGGAAGAAAAUGACGGUACCUGACUAAGAAGCCCCGGCUAACUACGUGCCAGCAGCCGCGGUAAUACGUAGGGGGCAAGCGUUAUCCGGAUUUACUGGGUGUAAAGGGGGCGCAGACGGCGAUGCAAGCCAGGAGUGAAAGCCCGGGGCCCAACCCCGGGACUGCUCUUGGAACUGCGUGGCUGGAGUGCAGGAGGGGCAGGCGGAAUUCCUGGUGUAGCGGUGAAAUGCGUAGAUAUUAGGAGGAACACCAGUGGCGAAGGCGGCUUACUGGACAGUAACUGACGUUGAGGCUCGAAAGCGUGGGGAGCAAACAGGAUUAGAUACCCGGGUA
RNAcentral lists this ribosomal RNA (447 nucleotides) under uncultured bacterium. RNAcentral describes it as "bacterial SSU rRNA". It matches the Rfam family "Bacterial small subunit ribosomal RNA", at positions 328 to 792 of the family's 1533-position model. The record is from RNAcentral.